AGUAGAGAUUCGAUCGGUGUAGCCCAUCCGUUAUAGAAAUUCAUUUGGAAUCCAUCCGCUGUAGAAGUUCGGAUGGAGUCCGAUUCUUGUAGGAGCUCGGGUGAAAUCUGAAAGGCGGUCGACUACCGUAGAAAUUUGGAUGGAGUCUGGUUACUGCAAAAGUCCUGCUGUUGGAGAAACUCGGACGUUGACGAAGUUCGAAAGAAGUUCGGAGUAAAGUCAUUCAUGGCCGGA
RNAcentral lists this long non-coding RNA (234 nucleotides) under Elaeis guineensis (African oil palm). RNAcentral's name for it is "long non-coding RNA (EGUI_LNC021213)". The record is from RNAcentral. Lineage: Eukaryota; Viridiplantae; Streptophyta; Magnoliopsida; Arecales; Arecaceae.